RNAcentral lists this long non-coding RNA (3834 nucleotides) under Sus scrofa (pig). RNAcentral's name for it is "lncRNA (ENSSSCG00030047166.1)". Lineage: Eukaryota; Metazoa; Chordata; Mammalia; Artiodactyla; Suidae. The record is from RNAcentral.
GCCCUCCCGACGCGCUGCGCAGCAGCGCGCGCUGUGCUAGGCUGUUGCUCCCGCUGGAGUGUAGUUUCCUCUAGUACCCCCGCCCCCCGCACCCGGUUGGCCGCUGGGAACUCGGUAGGGACGCCAGGUCUGGAUCAAGGUUUGCUGCGGUACUCCUCCUACCUAUACCUGGAGCAUGCCUUGGCUGGUUCUCAAUCCCAGAAUGCUGAGAGACACAUGUAGCAGAGCCACUCCAGCUGGCCCAGGAACCUGAAGUAAGAAGCAGAUCCAGCCAGGGCCACACCCACUAGGCAAGGGGUGGAAUUGGAGCUACAUCUGCCACCCUAUGCCUCAGCCACAGCAAUGCAGGAUCCAAGCCGCAUCAGUGAACUACACCACAGCUCACAACAAUGCCAGAUCCUUGACCCACUGAGGAAGGCCAGGGAUUGAACUUGCAUCCUCACAGAUACUAGUCAGAUUCAUUUCUGCUGUCCCACAAUGGGAACUCCUGUUUAAUUUUUAAAGAAAUUGUCAACUGUUUUCCAAAGUGGUUGUACCAUUUUACAUUUCUAUCAGCAGUAUUCAGGAGUUCCAGGUACUCCAUUAAGUCACCAGUAUUUGGUAUGUUUGGUCUUUUUAAUUCUAGCCUUUUCUUUUCUCCUCAAAUGUCCAGCGUUCUCCUCCCUCAUCCCCACUUUCAGCUGAUGACCUUUCUUCCUGUUUUACUGAGAAAACCGAAGCAAAUAGAAGAGAAUUUUUAAGACUCCCAUCAUAACAUCAACUUACCUAUCAGCAUAUGUAGGCAUAUACUCUUUCUGUCUAUUAUUAAACAUAAACUCUCUCCAUUCUCCUCUAUAAGGCCAUGUUUACUACUUGCUCAGAGAGCACACCUUCUUUAUCUGUUCAAAUGUCAUUCCUUCAGUUAUCCCCUCUCCUACAACAUCAAAUUUUCCCUUUGUACUGGAAAAUCCCAAUCAGCAUACAAAUAUUUUUAUCUCUUCCUUCUUGAGACCAAAAACAAAAAUACUGCUUCAACUCAUUGACAUUAGCCCAUAACUUUGCUUCCUUCUGCAGCAAAGAGUCAUCUAUAGUUGGUAUUUCUAAUUCCUCUCAUUUCUUUUUUUUUUUUUUUUUUUUUUUUUUUGUCUUUUGUCUUUAUAGGGCUGCACCUCCGGCAUAUGGAGGUUCCGAGUCUAGGGGUUUAAUCAGAGCUGCUGCUGCUGGCCUACGCCAGAGUCACAGCAAUGCCAGAUCCAAGCUGUGUUUGUGACCUACACCACAGCUCCAGGCAACACCAGAUUCUUAACCCACUGAGCGAGGCCAGGGAUUGAACCCUUGACCUCAUGGUUCCUAGUCAGAUUCGUUUCCACUGCACCACCACAGGAACUCAAAUAUUUUUUUUCUUUUGUCCUCUCAUAUUUUAGUCAAGCUAUUUCCUCCAUCCUGAUCAAAACUACUCUUGAUAUGGUGACUAAUAGACUCCCCAUUGCUAACCCCAAAUGGUCAAUUAUCAGGUUUUAUCUUACUCGAACCUUGAGCAAUUUUGACACUAUCGAUCACUUUUACUUGACAUAUCUUCUUUUGGCUUUCACAACAUCAACUUUCUUGUAUUUUCUCCUGUUAUCGCUCCUUUUCAACUUCCUUUUGUUGCUUUAUCCUGGUCUCCUUACCACUCAUUGUUGCAGUGUUAUAGAGUUCAAUCCUUGGUCUUUUUGUCUUUAACUAGGCUAGCUCCUUGGGGAUCUCACCCAGUUGCAUGGUUUUAAAUACCAUUUUGUAUGCCAAUGACUCCCACCUGUCAAUCAUCAGCCCAGAAAUCUUCCUCCAACUGCAAAUUUGUAUGUCUCCUCACCUACCUGAAAUCCUUACUUGAAUGUCUACUAAGCCAUCCAAAAUUCAACCUGCCCCAAAUUAAACUCCUGAUUUUUUUUGCUACUUUCCCUAAAUAUGUUUCUCUCAUAGCAUUACAUAUUUCUGUUGAUGGCAGUUCCAUUUUUCCACUUGUGCAGGCCAAAAUUUUUGAAACAUUCUCAAAAAUAUCUCUUCUUUUUGGACUGUUCUUUUUCUCACAUUAUACAUUUAACCCACCAGUAAUUCUCUUUGUCUUUACCUUCAAAAUCUAUCCAUAACCCAAUUACUACUUAUCACGUCUUCUGCUACCAUCCUGCUCUAAGCUACCAUGAUCUUUAGGCUGGGUUAUCUUAGUAGCUUCCCAAAAGAUCCUCCUAUUUCUUGUCUUGCUCGUCAGUAAUCUAUCCACGUGGCUCUCAACUGAAGGAAAUUUUGUGCCUCCUGUGGGGUAAUAUCUGUAGAACAUUUUUGAUUGUCACAGCUGGGGGAGGUGGUGCCACUGGCAUCUAGUAGGUCAAGGUCAAAGAUACUCUAAAUAUUGUAAACAUGCAGAAUAGCACUCACCACAAAUAAUCAUCCGACUUGAAAUGUAGUAGCACGAGGUUGAGAAAUCUUUUGUUUAUCUUCAUCAUAUUUAUUAGAGUUAUCCUUUUUAAUUUUUAAAAAUUCUGUUGGGGUAUAUUUGACUUACAAUAUUGUAUUAGUUUCAGUUGUAUAGCAAAGUAAAUCAGUGAUAUAUAUAUGAUAUGUAUAUAAAAUCAUUCAUAUAUAUAACAAUUCAUAUAUAGAGAUUAUAUAUUGUAUAUAUAUGUAAUAUAUAUAUCCCCAUUCUUUUUUCCUAUAUAUGUUAUUAGGAACUGAGUUAAUCUGGGCACUCUCUGUUAAAAUUUCUGCAAAAUUUCUCUGUGCCACUUAUAGUAAAACAAAAGUUUCUACAAUAACCUAUAGGCCUUAUAUGAUAUGGCUUCCCAUUAGCCUUCUGAUAUCUUCAAUUAGCCUCUGUUAUGCUUAUUCUGCUCCAGAGGCAAGCACAACAUUAGCAUUACAACCUGCUUCCUCCUCUGGCAUUUUUUUUUUUUUUUUUUUUUUUUUUUUUUUUGUCUUUUUGCUAUUUCUUGGGCCGCUACCGAAGCAUAUGGAGGUUCUCAGGCUAGGGGUCUAAUCUGUUCUGUAGCCACCGGCCUAGGCCAGAGCCACAGCAACGUGGGAUCCGAGCCGCGUCUGCGAGCUACAGCACAGCUCACAGCAACGCCAGAUCGUUAACCCACUGAGCAAGCGCAGGGACAGAACCCUCAACCUCAUGGUUCCUAAUCGGAUUCGUUAACCACUGUUCCACGACGGGAACUCUCCUCCCCCUGGCAUUUCUGACCCUCCUUACUCUGUUUUCUGUUUCCUAUUUUCCAUAGCAAUUAUUACCUUUUAACACACUAAAAAAUUUAUUUUAUCAAGUACAUUGUUCCUUCUCUGCAAAUAAGCUCCAUCACCAUAUCCAAGUGUCAAGAAGCAUGGUUACAUAUGGGAAGAACUGAGUAAAUAUUUUUAACUGAAUGAAGAAGGUUGCUUGAAGGCAAGAAAUUCAAUAGGAAAAUGCUGUAUAUAGUGGUAUAGUAUAUAGAUCAAGUCUUUCUCACAACAAAUUUAAAAGAAGGACAUUCCUUUCCCUAUUCUCCAGUUGGGCAAGAAGUUUAAGGGACUUCCCCAAAGUCACACAAUAAAUAGGGAAGCCAGGAUUCAAACCCAAGUCUACCUCAUUCCAAACCCUCUGCUCUUUAACCAGUGUUAAACUGAACUUCAGGGAGUUCAUAUCAUGGCUCAGUGGUUAACGAAUCUGACUAGCAUCCAUGAGGAUGCAGGUUUGAUCCCUGGCCUUGCUCAGUGGGUUAAGGAUCAACAUUGCUGUGGCUGCGGUGUAGGUUGGCAGCUACAGCUCUGAUUCAACCCCUAGACUGGGAACCUCCAUAUGCCGCCGGUGUGGCCCUAAAAAGCAGGAGAAAAAAAAAAAAA